GCCGCCAKGGUGAAAUUGGUAGACACGCUGCU
This 32-nucleotide transfer RNA is filed under the name Lilium duchartrei. RNAcentral's name for it is "partial tRNA-Leu". Lineage: Eukaryota; Viridiplantae; Streptophyta; Magnoliopsida; Liliales; Liliaceae. The record is from RNAcentral.